Molecule: ribosomal RNA, 253 nt
Filed under: uncultured bacterium
Lineage: Bacteria
Description: partial 16S ribosomal RNA
Rfam family: Bacterial small subunit ribosomal RNA
Source: RNAcentral
UACGUAGGGCGCAAGCGUUGUCCGGAAUUAUUGGGCGUAAAGAGCUCGUAGGCGGUUUGUCGCGUCUGCCGUGAAAGCUUGGGGCUUAACCCCAAGUCUGCGGUGGAUACGGGCAGACUAGAGGCAGGUAGGGGAGAACGGAAUUCCCGGUGUGGCGGUGAAAUGCGCAGAUAUCGGGAGGAACACCGGUGGCGAAGGCGGUUCUCUGGGCCUGUACUGACGCUGAGGAGCGAAAGCGUGGGGAGCGAACAGG